Molecule: ribosomal RNA, 1026 nt
Filed under: Triticum aestivum (bread wheat)
Lineage: Eukaryota; Viridiplantae; Streptophyta; Magnoliopsida; Poales; Poaceae
Description: partial small subunit ribosomal RNA
Source: RNAcentral
AUGAUGACAAUGGCGGAGAAAGUGCCGGAGAUGGUGGUCCAGACACUUGUGGACAAAGCCGUGAAUAGAGCCGUCUCCUUCGUGUUCGGACUCCGCGGGGAGAAGCACUCUCAGGAGGACCUCAUGAAGAGGCUGGUGACCGCGCAUGACGACCUGGAGCUGAAAUUUGAGAGGACGAACAGGCUGCCCAUCACUGAGACGGCAUUGCUCCGUCGAAGGAUGGAGAUCAAACAAGCCUUCCGAGAGUGCCAUGACUUGCUCUCCAACCUGGAGCUGCAGCAAGACGAAGGGGCGCCCUCUCCCCCCAAAAAGGCCAAGUCUCUCUUUGCCUUGGGCACAAACAAGAACCUGCUGAGAUCCUCGGACGUCGCAAAGUUCGAGCGGUCCGUGGAGAAGGCCGACAGGCUCCUGCGCGACUUGAAGGACGGCUUUACACUUGCCCAGUAUAGGUUUUAUCUCAGCCCUCUCGUCACAAAGCUUCUUCAAGGGAGGGCGCUCUGGUAUAAGGAGGAGCAAGGAUCCCAGGGCCGCUGCCUCAUGGUGCACACGUGCCCUUCCGAAGAGCAUGGUAUGCUGGCAAUGCUAGGCUUCAAACACGAAGAUCUCAAGAGGCCAAUGGCAUAUGUUUACUUCACGGUAACACUGCGGCUAACUGAGGGCACGGACAUUAUUGGGAUGACCGCUGAGUGCCUCAAGUCACUUCAAUCACUUCCCCGGUUCACGCCCUUGGUCGAUCUAGCGGUCGGGGAAAUCGCUGAGAUAUCUUCACAAGUCCUAGUUUCACCAUGGCCGUGGCAAUAUACGAAGGUUGAUCUCGCCAAGUUGGGCAGAAUAUCCCGUCAAGACCCAUUCUGCUGCAAAGAAGAUGGGAUCUAUUCUUGUGAGAACAAGGCCGUUCCAUCUGAAUUAACACGUAGAUUUCCAGAAUCAGUCAUCGCCAUGGGUUUUAACUGCCAUAUUUCAGCUCCUCGGAGCAGCUCAACUAGAACUAGAGUGCACAGAAACACCCACCCAUAUCUAAUGUAG